UUAUUUAGGGUGACACUAGUGAUUUUGAAAGGGAAACGAUUGAAGCCAGUCGUACCGACGGGAAAUCAACUUCUUGAGCGCUUGUCGUGGGUGACGUGGAGCUUCACGGCCUUCGUUGCUUUGCGUUAUGGUGCUUUUUGGGUGUACUUUUCCGUAUGGUAGGUCAAUAUCGAUUUUAGUCGUCAUAAAAUGAUCGGAGGAAUGUGGCUUCGAUCUCGUAUCGGAGUGUUAUAGCCUUUGGUAGAUGUGACGAUUGGGAUCGAGGAUUGCAACGAAUACCCUUUGGGCUAUCCGUCUGACCUCUGAAAGUCGCUCGGGUGUUGAAAGCGUGCUUACGACAUUCUAGUUGGCGGUCAAAAGGUUAGAACGCGAUUACAUUCGUUAAGGAGGUUGACGGAAAUCAC
RNAcentral lists this ribosomal RNA (404 nucleotides) under uncultured Glomeromycotina. RNAcentral's name for it is "eukaryotic LSU rRNA". Lineage: Eukaryota; Fungi; Glomeromycota. The record is from RNAcentral.